AUAGUGAGGAAAUCUCCAGUCCUCGAUUCCUGCCUCUCGAACUCGGCUCGCAAGGAAAUUUCAACAUUGUCGAGGAAGCAUCAUUGUAUCAGUGAAGUUUCGGUUCAGUUCUUAUCCUCGAGACACUUUUGUUGUUUCCUUCUUUCCCCCAUCAGAGCUCACUCCGAUAACUAAAUGAAGAAUUAUGUUCGAAAUCAAAAUUACAGUGCUGAUAGGAAGUUGACUGACUGGAAUACAGGGAGAAACUAAGCUUGGGUGCAAAACAUUUCUCCUGAUGAUGGUUUAUCAGACAGACUUAUGCCACUAGGACACCCAAGUAUGUGUUCCAUCAGUGCAAUGGUGUUUUAAGGUGCGUAAGUUUCUUCAUUUUUCAUUCAAAAAUUUUAAAUAUGAUUCAAACUCCAAGGUUUAUUUGGUAGCACAUUGUUGUUCAUUGUUGGUUUUCAAAUAAUUUCUUCUUCCAUGUGUUUGUUUUUUUUUUUUUUAUUUUUAUUUAUUGAGUUGGCCUUCCAUGUGUUUUGUA
Molecule: non-coding RNA, 523 nt
Organism: Camellia sinensis
Lineage: Eukaryota; Viridiplantae; Streptophyta; Magnoliopsida; Ericales; Theaceae
Source: RefSeq, a predicted model, not a curated record